GAUUAAGCCAUGCAUGUGUAAGUGUAAAUAUCAAAGUUUGGAACUGCGAAUGGCUCAUUAUAUCAGUUAUAGUUUAUUUGGUGAAGUGACUACUUGGAUAACCGUAGUAAUUCUAGGGCUAAUCACAUGAGAAAGUCCUCUGGUGAGGUGUGUUUAUUAGAAUGAAAAGCCAUAUGCUUCGGCAUGAUAGUGAGUAAUAGUAACCUAUCGUAUCGCAUGCUUAAUGUAGCGAUGAGUCUUUCCAAGUUUCUGCCCAUCAGCUUCGAUGGUAGUAUAUGGGCCUACCAUG
RNAcentral lists this ribosomal RNA (289 nucleotides) under Blastocystis hominis. RNAcentral describes it as "partial 18S ribosomal RNA". It matches the Rfam family "Eukaryotic small subunit ribosomal RNA", at positions 42 to 348 of the family's 1831-position model. Lineage: Eukaryota; Bigyra; Opalinata; Blastocystidae. The record is from RNAcentral.